RNAcentral lists this ribosomal RNA (502 nucleotides) under uncultured bacterium. RNAcentral's name for it is "bacterial SSU rRNA". It matches the Rfam family "Bacterial small subunit ribosomal RNA", at positions 20 to 518 of the family's 1533-position model. The record is from RNAcentral.
UGGCUCAGGAUGAACGCUAGCUACAGGCUUAACACAUGCAAGUCGAGGGGCAGCAGGGUAGCAAUACCGCUGACGACCGGCGCACGGGUGAGUAACACGUAUCCAACCUUCCCAUAACUCAGGGAUAGCCUUUCGAAAGAAAGAUUAAUACCUGAUAGUACUUUUUCAAGGCAUCUUGAGAAAGUUAAAGAUUUAUUGGUUAUGGAUGGGGAUGCGUUCCAUUAGAUAGUUGGUGAGGUAACGGCUCACCAAGUCUUCGAUGGAUAGGGGUUCUGAGAGGAAGGUCCCCCACAUUGGUACUGAGACACGGACCAAACUCCUACGGGAGGCAGCAGUGAGGAAUAUUGGUCAAUGGGCGAGAGCCUGAACCAGCCAAGUAGCGUGAAGGAAUGAAGGUCCUAUGGAUUGUAAACUUCUUUUAUAGUAGAAUAAAGUGAUCCACGUGUGGAUUUUUGUAUGUAUACUAUGAAUAAGGAUCGGCUAACUCCGUGCCAGCCGCCGC